Molecule: long non-coding RNA, 1227 nt
Organism: Homo sapiens (human)
Lineage: Eukaryota; Metazoa; Chordata; Mammalia; Primates; Hominidae
Gene: LUCAT1
Product: lung cancer associated transcript 1
Source: Ensembl
GUGUCAUAUCAGAGAUUGCCACAGACACCCAGGGCAAUGUGAUUUGUCACUUAAAGAGGACGGCAGAUCAAGAGCAUCUCAUCCUCCGGCUGCUGAGUCAUCCUGCUCUGGCAGUUAUUUAAACAGAAGGCUCCAGGAGACAUACAAUCAACACUCCACUCAGACAAUGCCCAGACCUCCAGAAACCAUGUGUCAAGCUCGGAUUGCCUUAGACAGGUGCAAUUUAAGAACAGCUUUCAUCCUCUUUUCUCUCAUAUUGUCACACUAUGUGUUCUGACUUCUGGCUCCUUUCCUCACAAGAAGCUCACCCAGCUGGAACUCUUAUGGGACCUUGGCACCAGAGACCACAAAUUCCUCUUUGAAGUUUUCUAACAGCAACAAUGGUAUUUCUGACUUGGCUUUCUUGUAUUUCUCUCACGUUAACAAAAUUGGUUCAGCAUCUACCAUGGGCUACAUGCUGAGGCAGGAGAAUAGCUUAAACCUGGGAGGAAGAGGUUGCAGUGAGCCGAGAUUGCUCAAUUGCACCCCAGCCUGGGUGACAGAGCAAAACUCCAUCUCAAAAACAAACAAACGAACAAACCUGAUAUUUUCAAAAUUGAGGCAAUUAUAACAGCUAUUUAGCCAAGCAUUAUGAUAGCAAUAAUAGCAAGAAAAUAAAUUAGUUAACAAAUGAGUCUCAGAAGCCCAAUGAUUUUUAUUUUAUUUUUAUUUUUUGAACUUUUAUUUUAGAAUCAGGGGAUACAUGUGCAGGUUUGUUACCCGGGUAUAUUGCAUGAUGCUGAGUUUUGGAGUAUGCAUGAAUCCAACCUGUCAUCCAGGUAGUGAGUAUAGUACCCAACAGAUAGUUUUUUUAACAUUUACUUCACUCCCUUCCCCAAUCUUGUAUUCCCCUGUGUCUACUGUUCCCAUUUUUAUGACUGUGCCAACAAUAAUUUUUUUUCUUUUUUCUUUAAAUAGAGAUGGGGGUCUCUAUUUAAAGAGCCUCCCAAAGUGCUAGGAUUACAGGUGUGAUCCAUUGCACCUGGCCCAUGCCAACAAUAUUUGAAACCCUUAUCUGCGUGUACAAGUUUGCUACUGGUUUUGUUUUGCUCAUUAAUACAUCCCAAGCAUCUAUACCUGGCUUGUAGUACCAGCAUGUAGUAGGUGCUUAAUAAAUAUUUAUUGAAUAAAUAAAUUAGUUUGACAUUAGUUUAACAUCUCAAGUAAAACAAAAUACCAUUCAAUUAA